UGGGGAAUAUUGCACAAUGGGCGCAAGCCUGAUGCAGCCAUGCCGCGUGUGUGAAGAAGGCUCUAGGGUUGUAAAGCACUUUCAGCGAGGAGGAAAGGUUUAAGGUUAAUACCCUUGAGCUGUGACGUUACUCGCAGAAGAAGCACCGGCUAACUCCGUGCCAGCAGCCGCGGUAAUACGGAGGGUGCAAGCGUUAAUCGGAAUUACUGGGCGUAAAGCGUGCGUAGGCGGCUACUUAAGUGGAAUGUGAAAGCCCCGGGCUCAACCUGGGAACUGCAUCCCAAACUGGGUAGCUAGAGUACGGCAGAGGAGUGUGGAAUUUCCUGUGUAGCGGUGAAAUGCGUAGAUAUAGGAAGGAACACCAGUGGCGAAGGCGACACUCUGGGCUGAUACUGACGCUGAGGUACGAAAGCGUGGGGAGCAAACA
This 427-nucleotide ribosomal RNA is filed under the name uncultured bacterium. RNAcentral's name for it is "bacterial SSU rRNA". It matches the Rfam family "Bacterial small subunit ribosomal RNA", at positions 355 to 774 of the family's 1533-position model. The record is from RNAcentral.